Molecule: long non-coding RNA, 20289 nt
Filed under: Vitis vinifera (wine grape)
Lineage: Eukaryota; Viridiplantae; Streptophyta; Magnoliopsida; Vitales; Vitaceae
Description: long non-coding RNA (VVIN_LNC002570)
Source: RNAcentral
UGCUUCCCAAGAGUACAAAUGAAUCAAGGAUCAAGGAGAACUUUGAUGUCUUUGGGUGGUCUAUACCUGAAGACCUGUUUGCUGAGUUUUCUGAAAUUGAGCAGGCAAGUAGUUCUUUUCCUCAUUGCCUCGGUCGAUUCCCUUAUCAUCAUGGCUCCUAGUAAUUGUUGACUGGUGGGCCACUAUAUAAAGCUUUUUCCUUGAUUCCUUUAGCGACCGGAUGAUUGGAUGGUGUAUGUGGUGAUAUACAAGGAAGUAUAAGUUCAUUUGAGAGGCACAGGAUCUUGUGCUAGAUACUCUCUCCUUCUUAUCCGUUCUCUCAUAAUAAUAACAGUUUGGUUUUUAACUCUGCAGGCAAGACUUAACACAGAAAGCUGCUAUACCCAUGAGACCUUCGGCCCCUACAAGACAGUUGAGGAACUUUGGGAUGGUGAGGUCUGAUCGGACAAUUUAGUGAAUAUUUGUAAUGACGGGUUUUUUUGAUUGGGAGAGGUUUGCUGGUCGAUUUCUCUCUCAUAUCACUAACGCCUACUUGAUUGGUUCUCUUGACUGUGUAGUUUCACAGCUCUACUUUGUUUUGCUACCACAUAAUAAAACAAUGCUUUUGAUUUCCAUGGAUUGUGCAGUGGUGGUAGGAAGUUGGAAGUAUAGAAAGCAAUGGUACAUGCUCCAAAAUUGAGAAAAAGAAAAUGUUUCAAUGCUAUGCAAUUCAAAUUUUUUAGGCUGAAUAAUUCAAGAAAUUAUGUCAAUGUUAGUGAAGCUGAACUAAAAAGACAAUAAUAAGCUUAUCAGCUAAAGUACAUUCAGUCGUUAGGAUUAUCAACUCAGAGAUCAUAAAAUAUUCCCAGUAAUGGCGAUUUAUUGUGAAUUCAGUUUAGGUGAAUUGCCCUGAAAUAUAACAGAAAUGAAAUUAAUUCAGAUUCAGCCUGAAUUGGGCUUAAGGUGUCUUCCAGUUCAGCUUGCCACAGUUCCCUCCUGCCAAUAAAAGAGGAAAGUUAAACUCAGAAGCCUUUAACAGCCAUUGGACUUGAGCGUACGUUUGAAGGCAGAUGAUGGCUUGAAUGGUUGACCACUGCUUACUCAGUAACUCAGCCUCUUAAGUAAUCAAAUAAGGUGAAUUCUCAAGGAAUUUUGUGUGUAUUUAGUUGUAUGUAGCAUUAUAUACAGAAGCAGGAUGGAUCAAGGGGCUAUAAAGAAACAGGGGGAAAAGGAUUUGAUAACGUUUGGAAGUUUAAGUGAUAUUUUAUUAUGGAAAAUUAUUAAGGAAAGAAAAGAAAAAUGUUAAGAAAAAUAAUUUUUUAUAUAUUUAAAUUUACUAUAUAUAAUAUGAAAGAAAAUCAAAUAUAAUUAAAAUUAAUAGGAAAUUUAUAUAUUUUUAAAUUAUUUAAUUUUUAUAUAAAAUAAGUUUAAAAUAACAUAUAAAAAUAAUUUAUUGAUUUUAAAUAUUUUUUUAUUUAUUUGUUUCUUCCCUAAUUUUUCGAACCAAGCAUAACCUUAAAUUACUAAUGGGUGAAAAUUAGAUACAAUGCACUUGAAGAACCUGUUGAAGAUGGGGGUGCAAUCUGUUGGUAAUCCAUGGAAGAGUUGGAUAAUCAUUAGAAUAAGAUAUUCCCCCCAAUUUCUUUUUAUUUUGAGCUUAAAGUGAUCCAAUUAUUUGCAGGAUGAAUUCAUCAAGAUGCAUAUGCGCCAGUUUAUGUUAUAUGCGUACUACUAGUUCUCCCUACAUAAUUUCUUUUCUUCUUUCCUUUUUUUUUUUUUGUAAGUACCAUUUUUUUUAUUUAACAUCGUAUUUAGCCUGGCAAAUAUGUGACCCCAAAUUGUUGAUGUUUAUUGUGAAAAACAUAAUAAGAAGGUGAAAAUAAAAACACACAAAAUAUAAAACAAUUUACUUGAUUUAGUUUAAAGACUAUAACAUUGGACAAAAAAAAAAAAAACAAAAAACUUCUUAUUCUAGGAGAUUAUAAUUCUAGAACUCUCAAAUUCCAAAGUUCAAUUACCAAAAAAAAAACUUUUUUUUUUUUUUUUUUAUCAAAAUGUUUUUCCAUAUUUUUUUCUAAUUAGAUAUGAAGAUUUUAUAUAAGAAACUAAUUUUAUGAUUGUAAUAUAUUUAUAAUAGGAAACUCUUUUAUAAAAAUAUUUUCUAUUAGGAAACUAUGAACGGUUUUUCAAUUCACUCAAAAAUGGAAUUUAGACACUUUCCAGGAAGUGUUGUUUUCAGGCUAUUGAGAAACUUUGGAAUUGUGAGAUCUAAUCAAACUUAUUAGUUUAUGCGUCUUGAUUACGCGCAUGAGGCAAGUUGCAUGUAGUAAACGUGCAUGAAACUUUUGGUGUAUAUAGAAGCAGAAGUGGAGCCAGGCUAUGCCCAAGGGGCAAAUGACCCCCUCAAAUUUUUGACAAAAGUACUACCAAGUAGCGGGUUUGAUCCAAGCUCAAAAUUAUGCAAAGUAAACAUGGUUGGCUCUAGGCUAUAAUGUUAUAAGAGCAUUAACUAGUCAGUAAUUUUGGUGAAAGAAAAUUUUUUUAUAUGCUCUUGAGUUAACUAAUUAAAAGGAAUGAAAUAAUUUUCAAUUUUAGGUUAUGUUUGGUUCCUAAAAAGUAUUAAAUAAAAAAAAAAUGGUAGGAAAAAUGAUUUUCUUUGAUUAUAUUAUAGAAAAUUUCAAAAAAAAAAAUAUGUAUUUUAAAAUUAUUUAAUAUUUAUGUUGAUGAAUUAAAAUAAAUAAAAUAAGUUUACAAAUAAAAAUAAUUUAUCAAUUUUAAUUUAAUUUUUUAUUUUUCUCUCUAUUUUCUUUUUUUCAUAUUUUUCCUCAAAUUUUCUGAAAUCAAACAUAAUCUUAACAUUUUCAUAUUUAUUUUAAGAAUAAUUAAUUUUUAAUAUAAAUACCGUUAAUUAUUUGAUAAAAAGGGCCUCUAAUAACCCAAAAAUUUGAAAUUUAAUCUUCCAUUCUUUUUUUUUGCAUCAUUUAGAUAAAAAUACUUUUAUUAUUUUAUUGUAAAAAUAAAUAUUUCUUUUAAAACCUGUAGAUACUUAAAAUAGAAAAUGAAAUUUAUGUUAAAAUUGGUUUAAAAAAAAACAUGGAAAGGCUUUUAAUCAAAUAACCCUACGCUCUUUUCUCUUAAGGGAGACGUUUCUGUUAUUCGGAGCUUUGAAGGGUGGAGCAGCAGUUUCUGUUUUCUCGUAUCUAGAAAUGUCUCCGUUCUUUGAAUUGAACAUAGGAGCAAAGAUCCCUUCGGUAGGAUUGGGAACCUGGAGGGCUGAUCAUGGUCUCAUUGGCGAUGCCCUUGCCACCGCAAUCAAGGUCUCUCUCCCCCAUACGCGUCACUUCUUCUUUUCCUUCCUUUUCUAUUUGUACGUUUUGCACCUGAAUUUGUGUGUGGAUCCUCUCCAAUAUAUUGUAUAUAUAUUUGUUGAUGGUACUUAUCUAAUUAGGGUUCAUUGCUCCAGGAAUUUGGUGUUUUGUGUAUAUUAUAUUCUUUCUGGGUGUCUCCUCUUUACUUUAUAUACGACUUUUCUUUACGUAUCAAAAAAAAUUAUAUUCUUUCUGGGUGUGAAGGUAAAGUUACGUUUUUUUGUGUCUUAUGGUGCAAAUUCUUUAUAAUUUUCCUAAGGACGUCAAGAUCAUGGCCUUGAUGACCUUUUGAAUAAACAUUUGCACAGGUUUUUCACGGAUGGGGUGUUUUUCUGCUUUGGCUUAUUGUAUAGAAGGUACCAGAAAAAUUAUUGCUUGAAUGAAAAUCAAUUCACAACCAGGAAACUAAAUAAAUAUACGGGCCUAGAAGCUAUUUACAGUAACUUACAAAAGAAUAGCCUAAAUUAUGGUGACUACUGAAAAGAAUGGCCAAAAUCAUAGAGAAACAGUCGUGGGAUCAAGGAUAACGGACAAUUAACCACAAUAUGAAAGAUCUCAUACUCACAAGAUGGUGCUUCCAUUGGAGAUACAAAUCUUGGAACAAAGAAUGAUGAAACUGUUGAUGGGACAGGGGCUUAAUAAGUGCAUCAGCCAAUUCCCAAUUGAUUCGUAGUUGAAAUGUAAGAAACAGUAAGGAUCCUCCUGAUAACUUGAUAAGGAGCAAAGUGGAUGUCCGGCAGAUAGAUGCAUGGAUCCAAAAUUGUGGCUGUAAAUAGUAGGUUGUCUGGACAAUGAAAUGCCAAGCUCACUAAGAAGAGAGCAAACCUGAAGGAUCUUGGUAGCAGUGGAGGAAGGGCCCAAUACUUGGCCUUGAUUGAGGUGUGGUUCAUAGUCUCCUGUUUGUGUGAGUGCUAUGAAACAGCAUUACUGCCUAAGCAGACAAGGUAGACCAUCAGGGAAGUGUAGUCAUCGCAGUUCCCAACCUUAUCAGCAUUAAUGACAUGGAAAGGUUAGUUGCAAUUAAGGUAGAGACCAUGUCAAGUGUAUUUUUAAGGUAUUGAAGUAAUUUCACUGUGUAUACUUUGUUGUGGCAUUUGCUUUGGCGCCUUUAAUAUAUAUAUGUUUUCUAUUUACCUAGAUAUGUAUAUAGAUAGAUACAAAGAAGUAGGUGCUUGGCGGUGGAGCUAUGAGUUUCAGUUGGCUUGUGCAUGCAUUGUGCAAGUUUAUUGGUUGAGUAGGAGAUGUUCUGUUGAGUUAAUUCCAAGUUUUCCAGGCAACCAAAUGAACCAGAUGUGGACAUGAUUAAUCCUUUUUGUUUGGAACACUUCCAGCCUCAUGUUUGAGUCCCAAGGUCACCCUCAUCUUAGCCAAUAAUUUAAACAAACAUAGAAAGCACUGAAACUGUCAUAAGUAAUGAAAACAAUCAUCAAAUCUAAAAAUAUUGAAUCUUUAAAAAUUUUGCUAAACUAGACAUUUCAAAAUCGAGUUCUUGCAGAUUCUAGAAAGUGAAAGAAACUCUAAGAAUCAAAACUAAAAGUUUUAAAUCAAAGAUAAUCAAGUUCCUAACACCACUCGGUGAAAAAGGAAAACAAAACUUCAAGGAGAUCUUCAUAGGCAUGUUGAAUGAGAAAAUCUGUUUGCUGCCACUCUUCUUCUCUCCCUUUGUGUGCCUGUUCCUCUUCUCAAACUUAUCUAAAAGAUCCCUUCUCAGUAUCAAAAGAUGUUUAAAUAGGUCAUCUCCAAACCUUAGACCUGUGGAAAGAGGGUUUGGGCAUUUUUAAUGGUGUUUGGGCCUUCUUGGGUUAAGACUGAAAUCCCUUGCUUUAGCUUUAGCAGAUUUUUGAAAAUUUUCCCCAAUUUGUGUGAUUUUUCCAGUAGGGAAAAUGACCUUAGAAUUUGGUGAAAAUUGGCAGAUCCAUUCUUCUAUGAGUCUAGGAUUUUUCAAAAUUUAUUUCUCCCCUGAAAUAGUUGCAAACUUUAAAUUGGUCAAAAUUAGACCUACAGCAGAGUUAUGUGAGCUUCCUCUUAUUUUGCUACUUUGUUCUUUUGCUUCUAAACCUUUGUGCAAAAUUCUUGACCUCUCUAAGAUCAUCCCAAUACUCAAAAUUAUUUUUUUUAAGUAAUUCGAGUUUGAGAUCUUGAAGGGAAAUACCUAUAAAGUUUUACAUACAACUUGAAAGCCAUGAUAACUGCGCACAUAGAGGGAUAAGACAAACUUAGCUAAUUAAGGGCUAUGAUGUCUACUAACUUGCUUCAAAAUGUGAGGUAAUAUUAAUAAUACAGUGUCCAUAUAAUUUGAAAGAUCACAUAAUACAUGAUAUAAAAAGAUUGGCAUGGUAUGGUAAGUUCCUCCAAUAAAUCAAUCCAAUUUCCAUGUUGAUCGCAUUAUUUAAUUUGGAGGCUUUGAUUCUAUUGAAUUCCCUAAUUUACGGUUGUUCAUGUAUGGAAAAGAGUCAAAUGUUCAGUAUGGGGUAAUCCAGAUGAUGCUUCUUAUUUUUCUUUUUCUUUGUUUUGUUUUUUUUUUUAAUGGAGUUUUGCAUCAAAUAGGUAAAAAAUGUUUUAUCUAAUAGAGCCACUGUUUUGAUUGGAAAAUGCCUCUAAAAAAUGUCUAACUCACUUGUAUUGGAUUCUAUAGUCUCUUCUCUUCUACCAUAGCCCUAAAUGGUGAGAGGAUUAGCCUCCCCUUGAAAUAACCUCGUGAAGACAAUCUUUUCAAUAUUAAGGGUUCCCCUAUUUAUAUGUUCUUAUUUCAAUGUUGAUGACAACUAAUAUUUCCUUCUACUGACUAUUAUAUUUUUCUUAUUGAAAUUAGCUUUAAUGUUUGGAAGAGGUUUUUGUACUCUAUCUUGUAGAUGUUGUUGUCCUUUGUCUAUACAUGAGUUGGCUUAUGUCUAGACUUCAUAGCUUUGGUUUCUUUCUUUUGCUAAUUAAUUUAAUAUUUAUAGAACCAAUUCCACAUAUCAUAGAUGCAUAGAAACAUAUAUAUAUAUAUUUGAUAGGUUGUAAAUAUAAUAUAUGCACAAACACUACCCAUGAUCUUGACAAGUAGGUCAUCACAUAAUAGAUGUUUAGCAAGUAUUCACUAUUGCUAACUCGGGGAGGAAUGCCUCUAUAGGCAUUUCAACUGCUAUGUUAAACCAAGGUUUGGUUAAUCUCAGUUUGAUGAUAACAAAAUAAGGUUUAGAAGUAAUGUUUUAUUUUAAGUGUGCUUAGGUUUGAGUAAAUCAUCAUAGCUAAGGUUUGAGUUUAUCUCAUAAAAGCUCAUUAAUGACCAUGAAGCACAUGUUUGCCACUUCCUUCUUAUUUUCUUCUUCUUCAAGAGUCAUCUUCACUAUUAGUCCAAGUGGCCAUCAUCGCCUUCUUCUUUCCUUUCUUUGCUCCACUCUUAUAGAGAGGGGAAUCAUAUUUAAUAUGUCUCUGUUUCUUGUACUGUAGCAUAUUAAAUCCUUCUCCCUGUCACCAUUCGAUGAAGCUUCCUUCUUUUGAUUGUCUUUUCUAGGAGUGAAUCUCCUUCCUUUGAGUUUCACCCUUCAUAAAUUUCUUGAAUUUCUUUAUGAGGGUCAAGUCUUCAUAUUCUUCACCAUCAUUUUCAUCAACCUCUUUUCCAAUAGUGGAGGCUUUUUUCAAAUAAGUCAUGUUUUAAGUGGUUUUCCCAUGUUACUAUUGUCGGUGAUUGUGCUAACUUACUGUCGGUGACUUUUCAGGGCUAUACUCUUCUUUUUGUCUUCCACAUCUUGAUGGCUCUUGAUGGUGAUCUCAUUGGUCAUCAAUGACCCCAUCAAUUCUUCUAAUGGUAGCUUGGUCAAGUCCUUGACCUCUUAGAUUGCGGUGACCUUAGCUUCCCAUUUCUUUGGAAGAGAUCUUAGCAUCUUCAUCACUUUUUCAGAUUCAAUAUACAUCUUUCCCAAAGCUUGAAGACCAUCGACAAUGUUAGUGAACCUACUAAACAUCUUAACAAUGGUUUCAUUAUCAUUCAUAGAAAUAAUUUAUAACUACAAGCAGACAAAUUAAUUUUAAACUCUUUUACUUGAUUAGUUCCUUCAUGAGUUUACUUCAAGAAGUCUCUAAAUUUCUUUAACCGAUUUACAUUAAUAAACACGAUUGUAUUCAUUUCUAUCAAUAACAUAAUGUAAAAGGUAAAUGAUUUUGACAUUCAAUUAAACUUUUCUUUUAUCAAGCUUAUCCCAUUCUUGACUAGGUUUUGGAAUCCUCACUCCAUUUUUCAAUUUUGAAAAGAUGGUGGGACUAUUUUCAAUGACAUGCACCUUAAAGAUCAAAAUUGGUAGAUUAUACAAACCAAGUCAUUUUCGUUUUCCAAUACGCAUACUCGGUUCCCAUAAAUAAUGGAGGUCGGGUGGUUGAAAAACCUUCCAAAUGGGAUGAGUUUGAUGAAUUAUCCAUAUCCUCUUAGAUGGUUAAAUCUUUCACAAGAGAUCUAGCUCUAAUACUAAUUGUUAAACAAGGCUAAUUAGAUUAAACAAAACACCUAAAAGGGGGGAGAGAGGAGUUGAAUUGGGUUUUAAAAUUGUUUCAAAGAAUAUACUUAAUUUUGAUGGCUCAAAAAAAAGUAAAGAGAGAAAGAUAGAGAGAUGCAAACUCGAUUUUUAUGAUGGUUCGACAAAUCCCACCUAUAUCCAAUCUCCUCAAACUCCUUCCACGUGAGGCUUCCACCAUUUCGAGGCUUUCAACCGAAGCCUUCAAGCUCUACACUUGGAUUCAAUGGCUCCAAUAGGCACGUACACAAUCUCUUCAAGUUUAAUCCUAACUUGAGGCUUCACCAUGCAACCUUACUCAAAUUGAUAAAGGUUUAACAACAUUUAAACUAGCACAAUAAAUGCUUGAAAAGAUUAAGAAAGAUUUGCGAGUGAAUGAUUAAUCCACAAAGGAAUAAGAGCUUUGAAUGAGAGAAAAUGGUGGUUUGAUAAUUUAAUGGAAGUAUUAUCUUAUCAAUAAAUGCAUAAGAGCUUUCUAUUCAUAGGUUUUUAACCUUGGACAUCUUUUUCUACAAAAAUGAGUCUUGGCCAGUCGAGCUCCAUUUCGACCAGCUGAUUCGCCGUUGAGUAUUAAAUGCACUGUAGAUGACCAUUGGUCCUUUUUGAGCUUUGAUCAGGCCUCAAGCAGGAAAGGUGAAGCCUAAACCAAGAAAGCAAGCUCUUUGGAAGAGGGAGAAAAUUUUCUAGAACCUAGGAUGGAUCUCAACUAGAAAAAGGUAGCUGAUUGAACCAGUUUCCAACUAGUUGAGUUGGUUUAAGUGCACCCUAGAUUGGUUGCACCUAAAAGGCCUAAAAACUUUUUCUUUUUCUUCCCAAAAGCUUUCUAAUGCUUAGGCAAUGUGUUUAGGUAAUUUAUGACUCUAUUUUGAAGAGUUUUGCCACCUAAGGUUUUUGAAGUUUAACUUAGUUUCAAGUAAAGUGAGAACUUUUAGGCAUUUUUUCAGAAAACUAAGUAUGAAGAAAUGCAUGAAAAAAGUUUAAAUCCUAAGAGCAUUUAAAGGAUUCAUCUAACAUUAAUUUCCUAGGCAAAAUAAGUCUUCAUGCAUCAUUGAUUUCGCUUUCCUUGAAUUCUUUUAAGUGAACUUGUCAUUUUCUUUUGAUUUUCUUGUUAUAAAACCGAAACUUAACUUGAUUUAAAACAAUUAGCAUACUUAACCAUGUUUUGUUAUUAUCAAAAUUUGAUUAAGAGAACUCUUAGGCUAACAAGGUGCAUUUGCACACACCCUCUCUUCCAAUGUCAUAUAUUCAACCAAUUGAGGUUAAGCCUUAAUUAGUUGAGGCUAAACCUUAAUCGGUUGAUGCCCAAUCAAAGCCUUGAACCCUAGUGGUCACUUGCUAGAAGCAUUAAAUGCUAAUGACUAGUGAACCGACCGAACUAGUGCUCAAUCAAACGACGCCAAAACUGCGUCUAACGGCUAGUUUAAGCUUCCAAACUCUAUUUAAAGGCUUUAAAGUUCUUUAUUUAAAAGUGUAAGAGUUCUAAAUCUUUUAUGAAUAUCAUUUGAGUCUUGAGGGAGUGUUUUUUUGUGCACUUUGUUUCAAAACUUACAUAUCAUUGGUGCACCAUUUAAUUCUAAUUUAUCUUCUAUCAUUUGAACCUAAAUUUUGUACUAGGAUUUUGUGAGAAUAUUUCCUAUCAUUUCUUGUAAACCUUUGAAAGGGAAAAAUCUAAGUGUGAAGUAUCAUUUAGGGAUUCUCAAGCGUGGGGUAUCACUUGAGAGAUUAUUCAAGAGUAAGGUAUCUCUUAAGGAUUGUAAAAGGUGCUUGAAACCAGAAGUCCAAGAGGGUUGUUUGGAACCAUAAUCCAAUUGUAAAGUUUGGAGGUUUGGUUAAAAGCCUCGGAAUGAUGGAACCCUCACUUGAUUAGGAACUUGAGAAGUAUAGGUUGGGUUGCAUUGAACCAUCAUAAAAAAAAGAGUUAGCAUUUUCUCUUCCCUAAUCUCUUUAAUUUAUAUAUCAUUAUUUUUCAUUGUGUUUAUUAUAUAUUUGCAUAUAAUUAUCUCUUGCAUUCAUACAAUUUAAAUUUAAAAAACAAAAAGCCAUCACCCUAUCCACUCCCUGUAUGGUGAUAACCUUAGGUUGAUCUAGCUAAAAUGCUAACAUAGUAGCUCAUCAUAGUUUGUCAUUUUGUGGUGCACCUAUAUUAAGACACUGAUUCAAACAGCUUAUACUUGAUUUUGGACCCAAAAAGAUGCAGAUUUCUUGGAUUUAGAAGUGGUCAUCUAAUAUUUUGAUGAUUCAUAACUAUUCCUUUUUCUUUUUUGUCCCUGCAGGUUGGAUACCGCCAUAUUGAUUGUGCUCAACUUUAUGAAAAUGAGGAAGAGGUAGUUACAACAAUGAUGCAGUCCUAAUUUCUUUGUCAUUCACCCUAUCAUUAUGAUUAUUAUCUGUGCGUAUUUAUAGUAAAUACUUAAAUUGCAUUGAAGUUUAGAAAGAAAAAAAUCAUGAGUAGUGUGCAAGAAAACCCUGAUGUAAAACAGAGACAAUCAUCAGAACAGAAAUGAAAGACAGUAUUCUACUAAAGCAAUUUCUCAAGUCUAUCCCCACUCAUGAAAGAAUUAUCUAUGUUGGUUUACAUCAGAAAUUGACAUCCAAAUGAAAAGGGUCUGCAGGAUCAGUUCUUUGAUCUUCUUCUCCAAAAUUCCUAUACCUAGAUUGCUGAUAGCUUGAUCAGGGAGAGGUGAAUAUUCUUUCUUAUGUACUUCGAAUUCUGCUCAUGAUUAUUGAUCAUGUUCAUCUUCUUCUAUUGUGCAAACCAUGUCUCCCUUAUUCUUGCCCCUCCCCUCCCCAUAAACUAGCGAUGCCAACUAGUCAAUUGUUUUAGAAAUUUCAUGAAAACCUGCUGUAUUGCAAGCAUAAUGAGAAACAGAGACCAAGAGUCCCAAGUCACCAGAGAAUGAAUAAAAAUCGGUCCAGUAUUCCUCUUCCUCCUGCAUAUGCAACAUUCAUUGGGAGUUGUCCUUCCCAAUUAAGGAUUUUGCUCAAGCUUCUGUCUGGGCCUUUAGCCAAUUUCUUUGAGAGGGAAACCGACUACUCCAACUCUAGCCUGCUUUCUGUAAUAGUAGUUCAGAACUUCCUGUCUGAUUGCCCUGAACUCAAAAACAGGGAUGCCUGGGCACCAAAAAAGAGGGAGAAAUCAUUGAGAUGUGACAUGUAAUCCCUAUUUACCUUUCAGAUCAUCUCAUUAUAUCCUUGCUGUCUCCCUGAAAUGCACUGAUUUGUAAUUAAUACUACAUUAAGCAUUCCAUCUUCCAAAUCACCUUCUUGAAAUGCACUUAUUUUCAGUCAAUAAUGCAUCAAGUUUUCUGUGCCUCACAAUCACCUUCUUACACCUUCCCAAGCUAACAGAUCCAAAUAGUAUUUCAUAGAUGCUACCCAUCCAAACUAAUAGGAAUGAAAUCUUUUAAGGUACUGCACCUCCCUUCGUUUCUUUUCUUUCUUUUUUAUUUUUUAAUAUCAAGUAUUUUUUUUUUUCUUAUGGCAAUUUAAGAACUGAUUCUCUUAGUUAUUAGUGAUAGAAAUGUAGGUAAACUUGUGUGGAUUUAACAUAUCCAUUUUUUAAAAAUUGGUUAUUUGAUUAGUCUUUUAACUGAAAAGUCAUUUUGCUUUUGUACACCAUCUUUUAUUUUACUUUCUUACCUAUACAAGGGAAUGUUUGAAAUUAUUUUAUUGAUUUUUUCAUUCUUUGUUUUUUUAGAUUUAAUUCUACUCCAUUGAUUAUAUCUAAACUAGUUGAUGUUUUUCUUAAUGCUUUCUAAAAGUUAGGAGAGAGUUUGAUAAUCACGAACACUCUGUAACCUCUUCUCCAUUUCAUCCAUCAUUCGCAUCCGCAAUGUGUCUUCAACUUCCUAUUUUAUGGAUAAUUGAUCCAACUUUUGGGUCUCUUCUAAUCCUUAUUCUUCACUUCUUGAUUUUGUCCUCAUUGUCAAUUCUGUUUGUUGUAAAAUUCUUUUGAUUAUGAGGAAUCUAUCCCUGUGACAAUGACAAGCAAUGCUGCCCGAUGAACCUUUUCAUGCAUUACAUAUGUGAGUUCACCCAUAAUUCAUGCAUGGAGUAGGGGGACAAUCCCGAUCUUGGACAUGAAACACAAUUUAUUAUUUGCUGAUUCAUAAACAAUUCUUAUAAUUUUUGUGUGAGGAUUUUAUUCAAUUUUAUAACAUUCUUAUCUAGUUUUAUUUCUUUUAGAUUGGCUUUGCCUUGAAGAAGAUUUUUGAAGAUGGUAUAGUGAAACGAGAGGAUUUAUGGAUCACUUCGAAACUCUGGUUUGUUUGAAUCUUGUGCUGACCUAAAAAUAUACUGGGUUUUCAUAAAAUUGAAAUUAUCAAUUGAAAAUUGUAAUGAAAAGUUCGAAACAUGGUUACCAUGUGGCAUGUUGCCUGUUUUCUACUGUUUAAGUGGAAGUGCAAUAAUUUGCAGGUGUUCUGAUCAUUCCCCAGAAGAUGUACCAAAAGCAUUAGAGAGGACUUUGAGGAAUUUGCAGCUUGACUAUCUAGACUUGUACUUGGUAUGUAGAUCAUGAUUAAGCUGCUUGUUCAAGUUAAUCUACAGAUAUUGGUGGAAAACUAGGAAUGCAUUUAUUGUAACAUAUAUCAAGAGUCGAUUCUAGCUUUGAGCUGGCAUUCAUUUCUUCUUUUUCUUUUGUGGAUAUCUUAAUUCCCGUCAUUUCCAUGCUACUAAAUGGCGCUGUUGAAAUUGUGAAGAUCCACUGGCCAGUCAGCCUGAAGAGGGGGUUGAUUGGUUUUAAGCCCGAAUAUCUUACUCAACCUGACAUACCCAGUACAUGGAGAGCUAUGGAGACGCUUUAUGACUCUGGCAAGGCUCGAGCAAUAGGCGUGAGCAACUUCUCCACAAAGAAGCUGGGGGAUCUAUUAAAGGUGGCCCGUGUUCCUCCUGCUGUCAAUCAAGUGGAGUGCCACCCUUCAUGGCAACAGCCACAGUUACAUUCAUUCUGUAAAUCUAAUGGAGUUCACCUUUCUGUGAGUAUGCUGAUAAAAAGUACUUCAAUCUCCCUUUUGGGCUGAACAUGUAUUAAGCAAAACAGAGAGGUCCACUUUAAAUAUUUCCGUUUAAGGAAAUGGACUUGUUACAAGAUGCUUCUAAAAAGAAAUGGAUUAAAAUCAUCUCCAUGUAUCUGCAGACAGCCCACAGAUGAUUAUUUAAUGAUGACCAUGAGUUUUCUUGAUUUCAGGCGUAUGCACCAAUGGGUUCCCCAGGUGGCACAUCUGGCAAGAGCAGGCAGCUCCUUAAGGAUCCUGUUCUCAAUAUGAUUGCAGAGAAAUUGGGCAAGUCUCCUGCACAAGUUGCUCUUCGGUGGGGGCUGCAGAUGGGUCACAGCGUGCUACCAAAGAGCACAAACGAGGGUAGACUCAAGGAAAAUUUUGAUGUUUUUGACUGGUCUAUACCUGAAGACCUCUUUGCCAAGUUCUCAGAAAUUGAGCAGGCCAGUAGUCUCUCUUAACUACUUCAAUCUCUUUCUGCUAAGUAUAAAUGUAUGCAUGUGAAGCUUAAGAUCCUAGUCAUUAAUCUUGUGGAUUUGAUAGUAUUACACAUAUUUUUAUUUUCAGCCAUUACCCUUUUCUGAUUGAACAGGAUAAACCAUACCCUACUUGAUUCUAUAAAAAAUGGAAAUGUCUGCCGGCCCAUAGAUACAACGACCAUUCAGACGUUAACAUGUCCAAUUUACUAACGAAUAUUAUGGGCAAUUCUGAGUUGAGUUUAGAAUACAAAGUGACUUCAAUGUCUGUAUUGAUGAUUUAGUUUAUGGGUUUUGAUUGCGCAGGUGAGGCUAGUUACAGGUAGUAAUUUUGUGCACGAGACUUUUGGAGUAUAUAGAAGCCUUGAAGAACUGUGGGAUGGUGAGAUUUGAGCAUGCAUGCAAUCGAUUAUGUAAAAUGUUUUCUUUAUAUGCUCAACUAUCCUUAAUUUGAUUGGUUACUACUUAAUUCUAAUGUCAAACGCCUAGUUGCGGUGGUAUUUCUAAUGGACCAGGUAAUCCCACUGGUGGUUUUAAUUAGGAUAUUUGGUUAGUUGUUUAGGAUAAAAUUAAUAUACAUCUAUGUUUUUUAUACAUAAGAAUGGAAUAGAAGCUGACAUUGGUAUUUACACUUUAAGUGAAAAAUCUUACACAAUUCUUGUAACAUAGAAUAUGAUAAAAAUAUGGUCAACCAAAUGUUGAAUGAGAUAAUUAACCUUUUAUAUAUAUAUAUAUAUAUAUAUAUCUAUCUUUUUACAUGAGCUACAAAAUAAGAUUAUUUUUUCUUUAGAUUUUUUUAUAUAUCCCUUAUUUGUAAAAUAAAAAAUUUUGACUAAAAAAAAUAAAUUUGUAGUUAAAAAAAAAAACUAAAAAAAUAUUUUUAAAAUAUAGUGUUAAAUAACACUAUUAUAUGUAUUAUUUAAUAUAUAUAAUAUUUUUGCAAUAAUAUAAUAUAAAAUUUUAAAUUAUUAAAUAUUAUUAUUUAUAAAAGAAAAUUCAUAUUUUUUUAAUAAUAAAUAUUGGAAUAUAAUAUAAUUUUUAUUUCAAAUAAAUAUUAAAAAAUAAUAGAUUCUUCGUUUUACUUUUUAGUUCAUUUUACAAAUAAGAUAUAAGCAUACUAUUAGCUUGGGAACAUAUCCUAAUAGGAGAAACAUAUCAUAUCUGAUAAGACACAUGCAUAUCAUGUCUGAUAUGACUUUCCAAAAAAAUAUGAUAUCAUAAUAUAAUAUAUAUAUAUAUAUAUAUAUAUAUAUAUAUAUAUAUAUAUAUAUAUAUAUAUAUAUAUAUCCUUAUUUAUUAAAUUUUAAAUUCCUCAAAUUAUCACCUGAUAUUUAAGAAAAGAAAAGAAAAAUUGGUGAUAAAAGGGAAAAUAUCAUUUAUGGUUUAGCAUAAAAAAUUUCUCAUGCAAUCUGAAUAUGCCCAACAUUAUUGUUCAAGAAAUGAUAUGAUUUUGUCUAAUUAUAUCAGAUUUUAUUUGUCCAGCUACUUCUAGAUUUAUAUAUGUAUAGAUUUAUUUUAUCCAUUAAAAAUUAUUUUAAAGAAAUAAUUGUGUAGAUAAAAGUAGGGGUCUCCAAAAAGCCCGCGGCCCGCGACCCGCUUUAGGCCCGGCCCGGCCCGACGGGCUAAAGCCCAGCCCGAGCCCAGCCCGAGCCCGUUUAUGGGCGGGCCGGGCCGUAGGCCCGCCCUUAGGCCCGGCCCGCAGGCCCGCCCUUAGGCCCGACCCGCAGGCCCGCCCUUAGGCCCGCCUUUAAUUUUUUUUUUUAAAAUAAUAUACUAUAUUUUUAUAUAUAUAUAACUAAUUCAUUUAAUAAGCACAAAAGAAAUGUAACUCAGUUGGUUAGAGCCUUGAAAUUUAUGCUUGAGGAGAGGGGUUCGAAUCCCCCCUCUUCCUUUAUUUAAAAGCCAUUUUGGCUUAUUUAAAAAAGCCCGUGGCCCGGCCCGUCCAGCCCGCUAGCCCGCGGGCUCAUAGGCCGGGCCGCGGGCCUAGCAUUUUAGCUCGGCCUGGCCCGGCCCGGCCCGUUGACCAGUCAACGGGCCCAUAGGCCCGGCCCGAGCUGGGCCGCGGGCCUCCUAUUUACGGCCCGACCCGUUGGAGACCCUUAGAUAAAAGUGAUAAUGAGUUUAAGGUCCAAAAAAAAAUGUAAAAUCCAAUUCAAAGAUUAACAAAUAUUGAUAAUAGAGAUAAAAGGAUAUGACUUUUUCGUCAUAUAAAUUUUUUUUAAUGAAUUUAUUAAAAAAACCGUGGAAAGCUGCUAGGCAAGUGUUUUUUCAUUUUUGUUUGUUGCAAAAUAAAUCGUAUCCGUGACAUCCGAAGCGGUUUAAAACCGUCAAAGAUUCCGAGCGAACAAUGAAUUUUUCAGCGAACGACAAGUGGACGGUGGAUCUUUAUGGCCACAAAUGGUAAGGGCUAGACGGCAAAAGCAAGACGCCAGCAUGAUUCCCGUUUCCCACUUUUAUAUAUGAGGAGAGGAGAAGAGCUUGUGGCACUCUGCGUUCUCUUUUUCAGAUAUUUGGAGUCUCUAGAGUAGUAGUCGUCCAUAUUUUGCGUUUUUUUUCCUAUCGUCUGAAAAUGUCCGACGACAUCCGAUUCUUUGAACUCAACACUGGAGCUAAGAUGCCUUACGUCGGUUUGGGCACGUGGCAGUCCGAUCCGGGUCUCGUGGGCGAGGCUGUGGCCAUCGCUAUCAAGGUCUCUCUCUUCUUCUUCAUGACUUCCUGCUCUAUGUCUGCUUGCAUUUUUUGGAAUCCUUGUAUCUGGAUUUGUGAUUGAAUGUUUUUUUUUUUCGAGGCAAGAAUCAUCUUGAAAUAUAAAGAGAGCGUGCCGUGAGGAUUUUCAGAAAAAAUUAGGAUCCAUCAGAAGGUAGAAAUAGGGCUUAAAAGGCGAGAUGUUUUGAUAAUACAAUGUAAAUGUUCCAAGCUUCUGAAUAUUUGUUCAAAAACUACACUUAUAUAGUCUUUUCAUUUGAUUCCAUUUUCUACAAGCGCAAAUGACAUUUCUGCUUUUGUUUAAAAUUUCUCAGCAUGUUGGCAAUAUAGAAAUAGAACUAGAUUCCAAAUAUGGGAUGAACCGAGACGAAGCUUCCUUCCUUUUAGGAUAAAAUCUCUUUCCAGUGCGGUUCUGCAUUCCACUCAUAGAUAUUAAUGUUCCUAAGAGUGGUGGAUCUUCUGAUUUUGAUAGGAGAUCCGCGCUUGAGAACAAAGCUAGGUGCCUUCUUUGUAUUGGGAUUUCAUAUUAUUUGGUGAGGGGAAUCACUUACUCUUGGAAAUAAUCUUUGUGAAGACGCUUCUUUCAUGCAUAUUUCCCUGUUGAUGAGCAAUAAUAUUUCCUCCUGCCAGAUCUACAUUUUCACGGCUAUUAUCUUUUCUUUUUGAAAAAGAACUCAGUUCUCUUUCUUCUAAAUGUUAUGGAUGCUGCUAUUCCACACCUGUACAUGGGUUUGGCUUAUGAGCUACUAUGGCUAGGUUUUGAUUGGACCUAACCGUCAUAGCUUGGGUUCAUUCUUUGGCUGAUCAAUUUAUUAUUCAAUCAUAAAUAUAUAUUGUCCAUAAUGCAGACAAGUACUCCAUCAUCCAAUAGAUGUUUAACAUUAGUAGCUAUUGCAAUAGGAGAAAAUCAUUAUGGUUAGUCUGACUGCUGACUACUCACAGGAGGGGAACAUAUGUUCUUUGACAUAUUGAAUACUGCUCAUGAUUACUAAUCACAGUAUUUGCUUCUUUUAGGUUUUAACUAGCACAUUUGUAUUUAAAGAACCCUAAACUAAACAUCUCAUACUUAAAGGGGCAUUGAUAACCAACUUAAUAUGACUAACUUAAUGACUUAAUUUAAGUCAUUAAGCAUAUUAAGUAUAUUUGAUAAAAUAACUUAAUGUUGCUAUUUAAAAUCAAAAUCAAUUUAAAGUUAAAACUAUUGUUUUCUAGUGAAUCUAAAAUAGUGUCAUGCUUUCAUUGCCAAAACUGUUGACCUUCUCAUCUCUCUACCACAGCCAUCAAUGCUUUCCUCCCUUGUGUCUCUCUCAUCGGUCUUUUACAGUUUACUUAAUAUCAGUGACUGUAAAUACAUCAAAUUUUAUAGAUCAAAAAACAGAAAGUAAGUUUUAUUCAGUAAUAAGUUACAAGUUGAAAAAAAAAUUUAACAAAAUUCAUACUAAAGUCUUUUGAAAUCAUUGAGCAUUUAUUGUUCAGUUUUACCCACAGCCAACUUAUUCUAAACUAAAAGGGCAGACUUCUCUUAGAUAUGAAAGAUGAUUAUCUAGUGUUUUAAUGAUGCAUACUCAAGCAUAUUUAUUCCUUGUCUCUACAGGUUGGAUACCGCCAUAUCGAUUGUGCUCAAGUUUACGGCAAUGAGAAGGAGGUAGUUACUGCAAAUAUGCAGACCUGAUUUUGACAAUCUGUGUUGUCAUCUUCAUCAUUGUAGUUGUUGUCUAUGUAUAUCUUGCACAAUAUUGUCGCUUAGAGUGUUUUAAGCAAUCGAUUUUCCUAUAUAUUCCUUAUAUGUUCAAAGUUGAUUGGUUCUUAAACUAAAAUCAUUCAACUAUUGUUCCCUAUUUUCUCUUUAAUUCUCUUGUUUAUUAGAGCAUGUCUCAAUUUCUAUUUGCUCAACCUACUAACUUUGUGUAUCUUUCUAUCAAAAUAUAUACCCUUUGAUUUAUAUCUAACACUUUAAAUGAUAAUUAAAAAAUUAAGAAGGAUCAUUAUUUUGUUGAAUUCUAUUCUCCUGAUUAUCUUGUUAUAUAUAUUCUCCAAAAGCAAUCAUUCUAGUUAUAUCCUUGGUUGUCUAAUAUUUAUUAUAAUAGCAUCCUCUUUUAAGCUUUGCAUAUUUAGUGGAAAUGUCAUUUUGACAUGGCUAGCUGCAAUGUAAAGAAUGGCUGCAAUAUUUGUUUAAAUUUAAUGUGAACUUGAUGAUCACCAACGCCCUAUAAGGCUAUAACCACUUUAUGAUUUCAUCUGGCAUCUGCUACUUUCUAUGUCCCUUUUUAUAUGGGUGAUGGAUCCAACAUAUAUAAUGAAUUCAUCAUUUUGGUUCUCUGCUAUCCAUCAUUCUUCACUGUUUUUUGUUUCUGCUCUUAAUUUUAGUCAAUUGCAUUUUACAUAUUUAUUGUUACUCCUCAUUUUGAUUCUGAGGAAUCUCUCCCUAGUUUUUAUUAUUGAUCAAUACUCUUAACAUAGGAGAAACCAUGAUGUGAACAAGUAACAUAAACCAUGGCACCUGUUUGUGCUUAUGCCUAGUCAAUUCAAUCAUAGCCCAUACAUAGGCUAUGGCCAUAGGGACAAUCCCAACCCUUGAAAUGAAUUGAACUUGCUAAUUCUCAAAUGAUCAGUAGUAUCUCCAGUGUUCAUUAUUCUCAUAUCUCAAUGUUUGAACGUUAUUGACUUGUAACAAGGAUUUUAUAGCCCUAUGAUAUUGUUUUCUUUGCUUGUAGAUUGGUAUUGUUUUAAAGAAGAUGUUUGAAGAUGGCAUAGUGAAGCGUGAGGAUCUGUGGAUUACCUCCAAGCUCUGGUUUGUCUCAGUUUGAUUUUGGCUUGAUUGAAAAUAUUAACAUUAUAGCAACAAUAGCUAUCUGUUACUCUUUAUCUUAAGAUGCUGCUGUUGCAGUGCUGCUUGUACUAUCUACUAAUUCAUUUUCCUUUUCUAGAGUAAACUGGUCUCUUGCAGUUCUUAGCUUCUACCAUUUACAACUUAAAUUAUUUGCAGGUGUACUGAUCAUGGACCAGAAGAUGUGCCAGAGGCACUAAACAGAACAUUGCGAGACUUGCAGCUCGACUACAUUGAUUUAUAUCUUGUAUGUGUUGCCUUAGUUAUUUGUUAAAAGUAACUAGAAGAAUGUGUCAUCCAAUAAAUAUUGCAGGUCUUUGGACCCUAUCAAAGUUCUGUGAAGUUUGCAGAAAGAAAAGGUCAAAACUGAUGAAAGGCAUUCCUCAGAAGAUGGACUCUUGUUAAUGCCAUAUUUAGAUCUUUGAGUGAAAUUUGCAAUAUGGCCAAAUCUUUGAGUCCCUUGAUUCUGCAACCUUGUCUGUAUCUUAGGAACUUAGAAAUUGAACCGUACUUUGAAUAAUUGAUAAUCUGCAUUUUAAUUUAGAUUGCAUUAUUCAGGAGAUUAUUUGAUUGUAACUAAAUGCGGCUGAUUCUUGUAGAUCCAUUGGCCGGUCCGUAUGAAAAAGGGUUCUGUUGGCUUCAAACCUGAAAACCUCACCCAACCAGAUAUACCAAGCACAUGGAGAGCAAUGGAAGCACUCUGUGAUUCUGGCAAGGCUCGAGCUAUUGGUGUAAGCAAUUUCUCCACAAAGAAACUGGGGGACCUGUUGGAGAUUGCACGUGUUCCUCCAGCUGUCGACCAAGUGGAGUGUCAUCCUUCAUGGGACCAGAGAAAACUGCGUGCCUUUUGCAAAUCCAGGGGGGUUCACCUAAGUGUAAGUAGUCAAUCCUUAAUUUACUUUGAAAUUUGGGUUAGCUCCUUAUAUUGUUGAAGAGCAUAUCUUAAUUUACUCAUUAUUUUGAUUCAGCUAUGCGCGCGCAUCUAGAACUAUAAUAAUUUUUUUCUUUAAUUUUGAUUUGCAUGUAUCUUUCAGGGGUAUUCACCAUUGGGUUCUCCAGGUACAACAUGGCUCAAAAGUGACGUCCUUAAGCAUCCAGUUCUGAAAACGGUUGCAGAGAAAUUGGGCAAAUCUCCUGCACAGGUUGCUCUUCGCUGGGGCCUGCAAAUGGGUCAGAGCGUGCUUCCCAAGAGUACACAUGAAUCAAGGAUCAAGGAGAAUUUUGAUGUGUUUGGGUGGUCUAUACCUGAAGACCUGUUUGCUAAGUUUUCUGACAUUGAGCAGGCAAGUAGUUCUUUUCCUCAUUGCCUCUGUCGAUUCCCCCUAUGAUCAUGGCUCCUAGUAAUUGUUUAAUAGUGGGCCGCUAUAUUGCCAUUGUAACUGCCAGUAGCAUUAUGCACCUAGCACCAAUAAAUUAGAGUUAAAACAGCAGAAAGAUUGCGAA